This 435-nucleotide ribosomal RNA is filed under the name uncultured bacterium. RNAcentral describes it as "bacterial SSU rRNA". It matches the Rfam family "Bacterial small subunit ribosomal RNA", at positions 57 to 510 of the family's 1533-position model. The record is from RNAcentral.
GCAGUCGAACGGGGAAAGAGAGGUUCGCCUUUCUUUCUUAGUGGCGCACGGGUGAGUAAUGUAUAGCUAACCUGCCCCUUGGAGGGGAACAACAGUUGGAAACGACUGCUAAUACCCCAUACUCCUUCUUACUCUAAGGUAAGUCGGGAAAACUCCGGUGCCAAGGGAUGGGGCUGUAUCCUAUCAGCUUGUUGGUGAGGUAAUGGCUCACCAAGGCAAUGACGGGUAGCUGGUCUGAGAGGAUGAUCAGCCACACUGGAACUGAGACACGGUCCAGACUCCUACGGGAGGCAGCAGUGGGGAAUAUUGCACAAUGGGGGAAACCCUGAUGCAGCAACGCCGCGUGGAGGAUGACGCAUUUCGGUGUGUAAACUCCUUUUAUAAGGGAAGAUAAUGACGGUACCUUAUGAAUAAGCACCGGCUAACUCCGUGCCA